GCCUCCUUAGUUAAAUGGAUAUAAGAACCUGAUGCUUCGCAUCAGAACCUUGUUACUCGCAUAGCUCGUAAUAAUAAACCCCUCCUAAGGGUCAGCCCCGGGUUCGAUUCCCGCAGGGGGUGCCA
RNAcentral lists this transfer RNA (125 nucleotides) under Clostridia bacterium. RNAcentral's name for it is "tRNA-Arg". It matches the Rfam family "tRNA". Rfam says of the family: Transfer RNA (tRNA) molecules are approximately 80 nucleotides in length. Their secondary structure includes four short double-helical elements and three loops (D, anti-codon, and T loops). Lineage: Bacteria; Bacillati; Bacillota; Clostridia. The record is from RNAcentral.